GACGAACGCUGGCGGCGUGCUUAACACAUGCAAGUCGAACGGUGAAGCGCCUUCCUUUUUGGUGGGUGUGGAUGAGUGGCGAACGGGUGAGUAACACGUGAGUAACCUGCCCCCUUCUUCUGGAUAACCGCAUGAAAGUGUGGCUAAUACGGGAUAUUCUGGGUCUGUCGCAUGAUGGGUCUGGGAAAGAUAUUGUUUCGGUGGGGGAUGGGCUCGCGGCCUAUCAGCUUGUUGGUGGGGUGAUGGCCUACCAAGGCGGUGACGGGUAGCCGGCCUGGGGGGUGGACGGUCACACUGGGACUGAGACACGGCCCAGACUCCUACGGGAGGCAGCAGUGGGGAAUAUUGCACAAUGGGCGCAAGCCUGAUGCAGCGACGCCGCGUGAGGGAUGGAGGCCUUCGGGUUGUGAACCUCUUUCGCCAGUGAAGCAGGCCUGCCUCGUUUGUGGGUGGGUUGACGGUAGCUGGAUAAGAAGCGCCGGCUAACUACGUG
RNAcentral lists this ribosomal RNA (493 nucleotides) under uncultured bacterium. RNAcentral's name for it is "partial 16S ribosomal RNA". It matches the Rfam family "Bacterial small subunit ribosomal RNA", at positions 28 to 507 of the family's 1533-position model. The record is from RNAcentral.